RNAcentral lists this ribosomal RNA (471 nucleotides) under uncultured bacterium. RNAcentral describes it as "bacterial SSU rRNA". It matches the Rfam family "Bacterial small subunit ribosomal RNA", at positions 28 to 545 of the family's 1533-position model. The record is from RNAcentral.
AACGAACGCUGGCGGCAGGCUUAACACAUGCAAGUCGAGCGCACUCUUAUGAGUGAGCGGCAGACGGGUGAGUAACGCGUGGGAAUCUACCCUUUUCUACGGAAUAACACAGAGAAAUUUGUGCUAAUACCGUAUACGUCCUACUGGAGAAAGAUUUAUCGGAGAAGGAUGAGCCCGCGUUGGAUUAGCUAGUUGGUGAGGUAAAGGCUCACCAAGGCGACGAUCCAUAGCUGGUCUGAGAGGAUGAUCAGCCACACUGGGACUGAGACACGGCCCAGACUCCUACGGGAGGCAGCAGUGGGGAAUAUUGGACAAUGGGGGCAACCCUGAUCCAGCCAUGCCGCGUGAGUGAUGAAGGCCCUAGGGUUGUAAAGCUCUUUCACCGGUGAAGAUAAUGACGGUAACCGGAGAAGAAGCCCCGGCUAACUUCGUGCCAGCAGCCGCGGUAAUACGAAGGGGGCUAGCGUUGUU